AACUAUAUUUUAUAUUAUUGGUUCCUGCGUGAGAUUGGAGCGCUGGCCGCCAUGCCUUUACACAUCCAAGUCGAAGCGCCAAACAAGCGUGCUUUCUCCUGGUGGCGAGUGGCGAAACGGGUGAGUAAUACAUCGGAACAUGUCCUGUAGUGGGGGAUAGCCGGUCGAAAGCCGGAUUAAUACCGCAUGCGAUCUGCGUAUGAAAGCGGGGUACUUUCGGGCCUCGCGAUAUAGGGUUGGCCGAUGGCAGAUUAUAUAGUUGGUGGGAUAAAGGCCUACCAAGGCGACGAUCUGUAGCUUGUGUGAGAGGACGACCACCCACACUGGGAGUGAGACACGGCCCAGACUCCUACGAGAGGCAACAGUGGGGAAUUUUGCACAAUGGGCGAAAGCGUGAUCCAGCAAUGCCGCGUGUGAGAAGAAGGCCUUCGGGUUGUAAACCACUUUUGUCCGGAAAGAAAUCCUUGGCUCUAAUACAGUCGGGGGAUGACGGUCCCGGAAGAAUAAGCACCGGCUAUUUACGUCCCAGCAGCCGCGGUAAUACGUAGGGCGCGAGCGUUAAUCGGAAUUACUGGGCGUAAAGCGUGCGCAGGCGGUUUGAUAAGACCGAUGUGAAAUCCCCGGGCUCAACCUGGGAACCGCAUUGGUGACUGGCAGGCUAGAGUAUGGCAGAGGGGGGUAGAAUUCCACGUGUCGCAGUGAAAUGCGUAGAGAUGUGGAGGAAUACCGAUGGAGAAGGCAGCCCCCUGGGCCAAUACUGACGCUCACGCAAGAAAGCGUGGGGAGCACACAGGAUUAGAUCCCCUGGUAGUCCACGCCCUAAACGAUGUCAACUAGUUGUUGGGGAUUCAUUUCCUCAGUAACGAAGCUAACGCGUGAAGUGACCGCCUGGGAGUACGUCGCAUAGACGUCAAUGGACGGG
This 922-nucleotide ribosomal RNA is filed under the name Burkholderia contaminans. RNAcentral describes it as "bacterial SSU rRNA". It matches the Rfam family "Bacterial small subunit ribosomal RNA", at positions 1 to 917 of the family's 1533-position model. The record is from RNAcentral. Lineage: Bacteria; Pseudomonadati; Pseudomonadota; Betaproteobacteria; Burkholderiales; Burkholderiaceae.